RNAcentral lists this ribosomal RNA (119 nucleotides) under Pteropus alecto (black flying fox). The record is from RNAcentral. Lineage: Eukaryota; Metazoa; Chordata; Mammalia; Chiroptera; Pteropodidae.
UACUACGGCCAUGCCACCCUGAACAUGCCUAAUUUCAUCUGAUCUCGGAGGCUAAGCAGGGUCAGACCUGGUUAGUACUUGGAUGGGAGACUACCUAGAAAGACCAGGUGCUAUAGGCA